RNAcentral lists this ribosomal RNA (286 nucleotides) under Aeromonas dhakensis. RNAcentral's name for it is "partial 23S ribosomal RNA". It matches the Rfam family "Bacterial large subunit ribosomal RNA", at positions 1 to 286 of the family's 2925-position model. Lineage: Bacteria; Pseudomonadati; Pseudomonadota; Gammaproteobacteria; Aeromonadales; Aeromonadaceae. The record is from RNAcentral.
GGUUAAGUGACUAAGCGUACAUGGUGGAUGCCUUGGCAGUCAGAGGCGAUGAAGGACGUACUAACCUGCGAUAAGCCGUGAGCAGUCGGUAAGAGACAUUACGACUCACGGAUUUCCGAAUGGGGAAACCCACUUAGCAUAAGCUAGGUAUCGCUACGUGAAUACAUAGCGUAGCGAGGCGAACCGGGAGAACUGAAACAUCUAAGUACCCCGAGGAAAAGAAAUCAACCGAGAUUCCCUCAGUAGCGGCGAGCGAACGGGGAUUAGCCCUUAAGCAUCUUGGAAG